CCGGGGCUAAUACCGGAUAACAUUUUGAACCGCAUGGUUCGAAAUUGAAAGGCGGCUUCGGCUGUCACUUAUGGAUGGACCCGCGUCGCAUUAGCUAGUUGGUGAGGUAACGGCUCACCAAGGCAACGAUGCGUAGCCGACCUGAGAGGGUGAUCGGCCACACUGGGACUGAGACACGGCCCAGACUCCUACGGGAGGCAGCAGUAGGGAAUCUUCCGCAAUGGACGA
Molecule: ribosomal RNA, 228 nt
Filed under: Bacillus cereus
Lineage: Bacteria; Bacillati; Bacillota; Bacilli; Caryophanales; Bacillaceae
Description: partial 16S ribosomal RNA
Rfam family: Bacterial small subunit ribosomal RNA
Source: RNAcentral